Non-coding RNA from Trichonephila clavipes, 67 nucleotides. NCBI's taxonomy places the organism in Eukaryota, Metazoa, Arthropoda, Arachnida, Araneae, Nephilidae. The record is from the annotation of a GenBank genome assembly.
GCCGCCCGAUGGUUAGGACACUCGGAUUCUAAUCGAGUGAUCUCGGGUUUGAAUCCCGAGUACGGCA